Molecule: ribosomal RNA, 478 nt
Filed under: uncultured bacterium
Lineage: Bacteria
Description: partial 16S ribosomal RNA
Rfam family: Bacterial small subunit ribosomal RNA
Source: RNAcentral
GAUGAGCGCUGGCGGCGUGCUUAACACAUGCAAGUCGAACGAGAAAUGGAGACGGAAACCUUCGGGCGGAAGGCUUCAUUUCGAGUGGCGGACGGGUGAGUAACGCGUGGGUAACCUGCCUCAUACAGGGGGAUAACAGUUGGAAACGACUGUUAAUACCGCAUAAGACCACAGCACCGCAUGGUGCGGGGGUAAAAACUCCGGUGGUAUGAGAUGGACCCGCGUUGGAUUAGCCAGUUGGCGGGGUAACGGCCAACCAAAGCGACGAUCGAUAGCCGAUCUGAGAGGAUGACCGGCCACAUUGGGACUGAGACACGGCCCAAACUCCUACGGGAGGCAGCAGUGGGGAAUAUUGCACAAUGGGGGAAACCCUGAUGCAGCGACGCCGCGUGAGUGAAGAAGUACUUCGGUAUGUAAAGCUCUAUCAGCAGGGAAGAAAAUGACGGUACCUGAGGAAGAAGCCCCGGCUAACUACGUG